Molecule: long non-coding RNA, 2841 nt
Organism: Caretta caretta (loggerhead turtle)
Lineage: Eukaryota; Metazoa; Chordata; Testudines; Cheloniidae
Source: RefSeq, a predicted model, not a curated record
AGGGGCUCCCCGCGCCGCCCCCUGCAAAGCCCCAGCAGGCCCCGGCCACGCUGCGCCCGGAGCUGCCCCAGCCCUGCCCAGAACGCGGCCGCCCCGGGAGCCGCCGGGCAGCGCCGAGGCGAGCGGGCGCCCGGCCCCAGGGAAGCGGGGCGCUCCCAGCCCGGCCCCACUGACCCCGGGCGGGGGCGGGGGGGGCACAACGCAGCACGGCGCCGCUCCCCCGCUCGGAGCGAGCCUGCCCCCCGCCGCUGUGGCAGGGAGGCGGCGCCCACCACCCUGGGGUGCGAUCAAUUGUCUCGGGCAGCAAAUUGUCAACAGUCCCUCAGCCUCCCACCCCCAGCGCUGCCCCGGCGCCGGGGGCACAAGGGCAACGGGGGCCGAGAUCCAGGAGACUGUGUCCGCGCUCACCUGAAACGGGGCCUUCCUUAGAAAUACGAAGGUCCGCACAGAACCUGUUACAAUGGAUACUCCAGCCUGCCUGAACCUGGGGGCAGAGCCAGACCUGUCAGUCAUGGGCAGCGGGAGCAUGCCCUGCCUCCUGAAGUUUCCUCCGCUUGCAAUAACUUCCACAGCCAGGAUGAUUCUCAUCUGUUUUCCGAAAUCACAGGUGGCGAUAACUAUUAUUUGAAGGGGGAAAGUAUAGUUUCAUCUUCCCCUCGACGGGCUGUGCACACAGAGACGGGAAACUCUGCUCUGCCCAGGACAGAAGUUGAUUUUCAUUCUUGGGGUUGGGCUGAUGUGUUCUUUCUAGUUUAUUUAUUAAAGCCCCGUUAGACAUGCUGACUGUCAAGACCAGAAUAGAUCCGUUACACAUGGAAGGAAGAGUGCUUCAAGAGCUCCAUAAAUCACUGUGUUCCAGCCAGCGGAUGGAUCUCUUUUUGGUACCUAUUCCCCGCAUUGAAUCACGUCCUCAACGAGCCCUCUCCAUGAUCCCCUGCUAGCUUCUGACAUAUGAAUCACGCUGCCUGGUUAACUAAUGGAUGGACCCCUUCAAAAAAGUCUGGUUCUCUGCAUUUACCAGUUGAGGGAACGGACAACAGAUAACAGGCACUGGACCUCGCAACAGAUGUGCUAGGAUGAGAUCCAGAGGGGAUAACAGGAAUUAGGGGGUAGGACUCACAUGAACUCUGGAUCACUGACACACGUGUACAUGAGAUCAGCAUUCUCAGUAGGUUGCCCUAAGAAUUGGAUUUUUGUUUCUGUGACACAGUGAGCAGGGGAGCCAAGCACUGAGGAUUAUGCACCAUGCUGCAUCCAUAAAGGGUCCAUAUGUGUCUGAUUUCUCCUGGAGGCCUCAGCAGAGGAUAUGAGAAGAGAAUUCCAGGGGGAGGGAGAUGACCUUUGAGCUCAGCCUCCUAUCACGCACUCUGGCGCUGCCAGUGUCCAUGCUUCGUCCAGUACCCUCCAUUCGUGACUCAGAGGGAAGCAGAGAAGGAAGAGGUAGCUGAGUUCCGCAAUCAGAGGCAUCGCUGCAGUUUGGUUACUUUCUGCACUUGACAGCAUUGUGUGUCCAGUCAGCCUCAUUGUGCCUCUAGCAAAAUCAGGGUCGCAGAUGUUCUUGGAGCACGAACUGGACUGCAGUUUGCCACUCAGCUCCCUAAAGGUGCUUGAAGUACUCUCAUCUCCCACUGGUUCUUGAAGUACACUUAUUCUCCUUACACAUCACAUAUCCAUGACUAUUUCUAACUAUAGUACUCAACCCUCUAUCCACUAAUUCUGUUCUCUGUGUGCUUCAAUAACAUCUGUCUUUAAUGUCACAGCCUCUAUUCUUCCCCGUAUCCCUAUAAUUUACUACCCAAUGCUAGCCUCUUCUAUAAAGCAGCCAUCCCAGUCCAUUCAAUACUCCCUCUUCUCACUCUCUCUCUUUAAUUUAUCGACUGGCAGUUGCUUGGUCGAGACUGCGACAUGGAUGAGAGCUAGUUGGCUGGAGUUCAAUCCAGACAAGUCUGAAGCAAUCCUGAUUGUGGGAAACUACCAGAAGAUGUAGCGAAUAUAAUCUAGUUGAAGAUAACAUCUGUUUCUUUGACUGGGGAUGUGUGUUUGGCUUUUGUUCAGACUUAGGGGUCUGGUUAGAUUCCCAGAUGUUACUAAAGGAUCAGGUAGCAGCAAUGUCAGGACGCUGGUUUUUAAAAACUUACAUAUGGCCAAGAAGUAGUGAUAGUCCCUCUCCAACGCAGAUCUGACAACUGUCAUUUAUGCCUCUGUCAUCUAAGGAUGAGAAUACUGCAAUAUUUUCUACAUGGCACUGCACUUUAAAUCCAUUCAUAAACUGAAGCUGGUGCAGAAUUCAGCAGCCCACUUCAAAAGCCAUGUAUCCUACCGUGAGCAUUUUUACCCUGGUGCUCCAGGAUCUGCACUGGCUGACUGUUGGCUUCCAGGUAGAUUUUAACAUGUUUCACUUGACAUAUAAAGCCCUAAGUGGCCAGGGACCUGCCUACUGGAGAGACCACAUCUCUCACCUUGCCACAUUGCUGCAGUUGCCAUCAGCAGAAGCAUUUAAACUGGCACCCACUUGGUAUAAGAGAACGCUGCUGGCAGGUCCUUCUAGGUGAAGUCCCCUUGAUUUCAGAACUUGCUCCCCCGUUUAAUCCAAAAUAGCUUGCUUUUGAUUAUCAUUACGGCACGCUGGAAAGCUCAGUUUUCUUCUCCACAUUAUGAAGAGGGGGGAAGCUUAUGUGGGUGGUUAGGAGUGAGAGAAGGAUGGUUCAAUCUUUAAUUUGUCUAUGUUUGCUGGUUGGGGGUUUAAUGGAGUUGCUGAAGUUAUAAUUAAGGAAUUUUCAGUAUUUGUAGAUUAAACAAUGUCAAGGGAGCCUAGAGUGAAUGGACAGCUGCUUUUUUUUU